RNAcentral lists this ribosomal RNA (657 nucleotides) under uncultured bacterium. RNAcentral's name for it is "bacterial SSU rRNA". It matches the Rfam family "Bacterial small subunit ribosomal RNA", at positions 202 to 849 of the family's 1533-position model. The record is from RNAcentral.
GAUGGCUUUAGCUAUCACUCUGGGAUGGACCUGCGGUGCAUUAGCUAGUUGGUAAGGUAACGGCUUACCAAGGCGAUGAUGCAUAGCCGAGUUGAGAGACUGAUCGGCCACAAUGGAACUGAGACACGGUCCAUACUCCUACGGGAGGCAGCAGUAGGGAAUCUUCCACAAUGGGCGCAAGCCUGAUGGAGCAACACCGCGUGAGUGAAGAAGGGUUUCGGCUCGUAAAGCUCUGUUGUUGGAGAAGAACGUGCGUGAGAGUAACUGUUCGCGCAGUGACGGUAUCCAACCAGAAAGUCACGGCUAACUACGUGCCAGCAGCCGCGGUAAUACGUAGGUGGCAAGCGUUAUCCGGAUUUAUUGGGCGUAAAGCGAGCGCAGGCGGUUGCUUAGGUCUGAUGUGAAAGCCUUCGGCUUAACCGAAGAAGUGCAUCGGAAACCGGGCAACUUGAGUGCAGAAGAGGACAGUGGAACUCCAUGUGUAGCGGUGGAAUGCGUAGAUAUAUGGAAGAACACCGGUGGCGAAGGCGGCUGUCUGGUCUGCAACUGACGCUGAGGCUCGAAAGCAUGGGUAGCGAACAGGAUUAGAUACCCUGGUAGUCCAUGCCGUAAACGAUGAGUGCUAGGUGUUGGAGGGUUUCCGCCCUUCAGUGCCGG